This 265-nucleotide ribosomal RNA is filed under the name uncultured archaeon. Its description in RNAcentral is "partial 16S ribosomal RNA". It matches the Rfam family "Archaeal small subunit ribosomal RNA", at positions 717 to 982 of the family's 1478-position model. The record is from RNAcentral.
ACACGACUACAUUAGAUACCCCCGUAGUCCCAGCCCUAAACGAUGCGCGUUAGGUGUAUCGGUGACCACGAGUCACCGAGGUGCCGAAGGGAAACCGUGAAACGUGCCGCCUGGGAAGUACGGUCGCAAGGCUGAAACUUAAAGGAAUUGGCGGGGGAGCACCACAACGGGUGGGGCUUGCGGUUUAAUUGGAUUCAACGCCGGAAAUCUUACCGGGACCGACAGCAACAUGAAGGCCAGGCUGAAGACUUUGCCGGAUUAGCUG